This 253-nucleotide ribosomal RNA is filed under the name uncultured prokaryote. RNAcentral describes it as "partial 16S ribosomal RNA". It matches the Rfam family "Bacterial small subunit ribosomal RNA", at positions 524 to 776 of the family's 1533-position model. The record is from RNAcentral.
UACAGAGGGUGCGAGCGUUAAUCGGAUUUACUGGGCGUAAAGCGUGAGUAGGUGGCUCGCUAAGUCGAUUGUGAAAGCCCUGGGCUCAACCUGGGAAUUGCAGUCGAUACUGGAGAGCUAGAGUUCGGUAGAGGGUGACGGAAUUCCCGGUGUAGCGGUGAAAUGCGUAGAUAUCGGGAGGAACAUCGAUGGCGAAGGCAAUCACCUGGGCCUGAACUGACACUGAGACACGAAAGCGUGGGUAGCAAACAGG